RNAcentral lists this ribosomal RNA (465 nucleotides) under uncultured bacterium. RNAcentral's name for it is "partial 16S ribosomal RNA". It matches the Rfam family "Bacterial small subunit ribosomal RNA", at positions 28 to 507 of the family's 1533-position model. The record is from RNAcentral.
GACGAACGCUGGCGGCGUGCUUAACACAUGCAAGUCGAACGGAAAGGCCCUGCUUGCCGGGUACUCGAGUGGCGAACGGGUGAGUAACACGUGGGUGAUCUGCCCUGCACUUCGGGAUAAGCCUGGGAAACUGGGUCUAAUACCGGAUAGGAGCCAUUUUUAGUGUGAUGGUUGGAAAGUUUUUUCGGUGUAGGAUGAGCUCGCGGCCUAUCAGCUUGUUGGUGGGGUAAUGGCCUACCAAGGCGGCGACGGGUAGCCGGCCUGAGAGGGUGGACGGCCACAUUGGGACUGAGAGACGGCCCAGACUCCUACGGGAGGCAGCAGUGGGGAAGAUUGCACAAUGGGCGCAAGCCGAAUGCAGCGACGCCGCGGGGGGGAGGACGGCCUUCGGGUUGGAAACUCCUUUCGCUAGGGACGAAGCUUUUUGUGACGGUACCUAGAUAAGAAGCACCGGCUAACUACGUG